GAUGAAGAACGUAGCGAAAUGCGAUAAGUAAUGUGAAUUGCAGAAUUCAGUGAAUCAUCGAAUCUUUGAACGCACAUUGCGCCCGCCAGUAUUCUGGCGGGCAUGCCUGUUCGAGCGUCAUUUCAACCAUCAAGCCCCCGGCUUGUGUUGGGGACCCUGCGGCUGCCCGCAGGCCCUGAAAACCAGUGGCGGGCUCGCUGUCACUCCGAGCGUAGUAGCAUAUAUCUCGCUCAGGGCGUGCUGCGGGUUCCGGCCGUUAAAAGCCUUUUUUUUUACCCAAGGUUGACCUCGGAUCAGGUAGGAAGACCCGCUGAACUUAAGCAUAUCAUAAGCGGAGGA
This 339-nucleotide unclassified non-coding RNA is filed under the name soil metagenome. RNAcentral's name for it is "partial contains 5.8S ribosomal RNA, internal transcribed spacer 2, and large subunit ribosomal RNA". The stretch from base 1 to 120 matches the Rfam family "5.8S ribosomal RNA", at positions 35 to 154 of the family's 154-position model. The record is from RNAcentral.